RNAcentral lists this small RNA (2308 nucleotides) under Pongo abelii (Sumatran orangutan). Its description in RNAcentral is "processed transcript". The record is from RNAcentral. Lineage: Eukaryota; Metazoa; Chordata; Mammalia; Primates; Hominidae.
GUAAUAUAGGUGGGCUUUUAGAGUGUGUGUAAUUACACAGUGUUUUUACACUGGUCGCAAAAAAUUUAUUUAAUCCAGUAAUAUUUGAAAAAAUCUUUCGUUUGUAUUAUGGGGUGAUGGGAAACUAAGCUUUUUUGUUUUGUUUUGUUUUGUUUUGUUUAGACUUGUUUUAAAUAUUUGAUUCAGAUGGGAAUGUUUCAGCCUUUAACACUGUUCCCCUUGAUGGGGUUAUUUGUCCUUGGGUUAAAGGGUUGGAAAUCGUGCCAAAUGGGAUAACAUUGACGAUGGACUACCAGGGGAGAAGCACAGGGGAGGCCUUCGUGCAGUUUGCUUCAAAGGAGAUAGCAGAAAAUGCUCUGGGGAAACACAAGGAAAGAAUAGGGCACAGGUAUAUUGAGAUCUUCAGAAGUAGCAGGAGUGAAAUCAAAGGAUUUUAUGAUCCACCAAGAAGAUUGCUGGGACAGCGACCGGGACCAUAUGAUAGACCAAUAGGAGGAAGAGGGGGUUAUUAUGGAGCUGGGCGUGGAAGUAUGUAUGACAGAAUGCGACGAGGAGGUGAUGGAUAUGAUGGUGGUUAUGGAGGUUUUGAUGACUAUGGUGGCUAUAAUAAUUACGGCUAUGGGAAUGAUGGCUUUGAUGACAGAAUGAGAGAUGGAAGAGGUAUGGGAGGCCAUGGCUAUGGUGGAGCUGGUGAUGCAAGUUCAGGUUUUCAUGGUGGUCAUUUUGUACAUAUGAGAGGGUUGCCUUUUCGUGCGACUGAAAAUGACAUUGCUAAUUUCUUCUCACCACUAAAUCCAAUACGAGUUCAUAUUGAUAUUGGAGCUGAUGGCAGAGCCACAGGAGAAGCAGAUGUAGAGUUUGUGACACAUGAAGAUGCAGUAGCUGCCAUGUCUAAAGAUAAAAAUAACAUGCAACAUCGAUAUAUUGAACUCUUCUUGAAUUCUACUCCUGGAGGCGGCUCUGGCAUGGGAGGUUCUGGAAUGGGAGGCUACGGAAGAGAUGGAAUGGAUAAUCAGGGAGGCUAUGGAUCAGUUGGAAGAAUGGGAAUGGGGAACAAUUACAGUGGAGGAUACGGUACUCCUGAUGGUUUGGGUGGUUAUGGUCGUGGUGGUGGAGGCAGUGGAGGUUACUACGGGCAAGGCGGCAUGAGUGGAGGUGGAUGGCGUGGGAUGUACUGAAAGCAAAAACACCAACAUACAAGUCUUGACAACAGCAUCUGGUCUACUAGACUUUCUUACAGAUUUCUUUUGUAUUUUAAGAACUUUAUAAUGACUGAAGGAAUGUGUUUUCAAAAUAUUAUUUGGUAAAGCAACAGAUUGUGAUGGGAAAAUCUGUUUUCUGUAGGUUUAUUUGUUGCAUACUUUGACUUAAAAAUAAAUUUUUAUAUUCAAACCACUGAUGUUGAUACUUUUUAUAUACUAGUUACUCCUAAAGAUGUGCUGCCUUCAUAAGAUUUGGGUUGAUGUAUUUUACUAUUAGUUCUACAAGAAGUAGUGUGGUGUAAUUUUAGAGGAUAAUGGUUCACCUCUGCAUAAACUGCAAGUCUUAAGCAGACAUCUGGAAUAGAGCUUGACAAAUAAUUAGUGUAACUUUUUUCUUUAGUUCCUCUUGGACAACACUGUAAAUAUAAAGCCUAAAGAUGAAGUGGCUUCAGGAGUAUAAAUUCAGCUAAUUAUUUCUAUAUUAUUAUUUUUCAAAUGUCAUUUAUCAGGCAUAGCUCUGAAACAUUGAUGAUCUAAGAGGUAUUGAUUUCUGAAUAUUCAUAAUUGUGUUACCUGGGUAUGAGAGUGUUGGAAGUUGAAUUCUAGCCCUAGAUUUUGGAGUAAAAUCCCUUCAGCACUUGACUGAAAUACCAAAAAUGUCUCCAAAAAAUUGAUAGUUGCAGGUUAUCGCAAGAUGUCUUAGAGUAGGGUAAAGGUUCUCGGUGACACAAGAAUUCAGUAUUAAGUACAUAGGUAUUUACUAUGGAGUAUAAUUCUCACAAUUGUAUUUUCAGUUUUCUGCCCAGUAGAGUUUAACUGUAUAAAUGAUGACUUUAAAAAAAUGUAAGCAACAAGUCCAUGUCAUAGUCAAUUAAAACAAUCCUGCAGUUGGGUUUUGUAUCUGAUAUCUGCUUGGAGUUUUAGUUUAAAGAAUCUAUAUGUAGCAAGGAAAAGGUGCUUUUUAAUUUUAAUCCCUUUGAUCAAUAUGGCUUUUUUCCAAAUUGGCUAAUGGAUCAAAAUGAAACCUGUUGAUGUGAAUCCAGUUAUUGAACUUGUUACUUGUUUUUGCCAGAAAUGUUAUUAAUAAAUGUCAAUGUGGGAGAUAA